RNAcentral lists this ribosomal RNA (395 nucleotides) under uncultured bacterium. Its description in RNAcentral is "partial 16S ribosomal RNA". It matches the Rfam family "Bacterial small subunit ribosomal RNA", at positions 505 to 898 of the family's 1533-position model. The record is from RNAcentral.
GUGUCAGCCGCCGCGGUAAUACGUGGGGCGCAAGCGUUACCCGGAAUCAUUGGGCGUAAAGCGUCCGUAGGCUGUUUCGCGCGUUUGUUCUUAAAUCGACAGGCUUAACCUGUCGGCUGGAGCGGAUACGGCGAGACUUGAAGAUGGAAGAGACAAGCGGAACUCCCGGUGUAGCGAUGAAAUGCGUUUAUAUCGGGGGGAACACCAGUGGCGAAGGCGGCUUGUUGGUCCAUUCUUGACGCUGAGGGACGAAAGCGUGGGUAGCGAACAGGAUUAGAUACCCUGGUAGUCCACGCUGUAAACGAUGAACACUAGACAUUGGGAGAGUCGACCCUCUCAGAGUCGAAGCUAACGCGUUAAGUGUUCCGCCUGGGGAGUACGGCCGCAAGGCUAAA